This 21-nucleotide transfer RNA is filed under the name Ruditapes philippinarum (Manila clam). Its description in RNAcentral is "partial tRNA-Val". Lineage: Eukaryota; Metazoa; Mollusca; Bivalvia; Venerida; Veneridae. The record is from RNAcentral.
CAGGAAAUAGCAUAUAUAGAA